This 197-nucleotide ribosomal RNA is filed under the name uncultured bacterium. RNAcentral describes it as "partial 16S ribosomal RNA". It matches the Rfam family "Bacterial small subunit ribosomal RNA", at positions 336 to 524 of the family's 1533-position model. The record is from RNAcentral.
CUCCUACGGGAGGCAGCAGUAGGGAAUAUUGCGCAAUGGGGGAAACCCUGACGCAGCAACGCCGCGUGAGUGAGGAAGGUCUUCGGAUUGUAAAACUCUUUUCUUAGAGAAAAAUGUCUUGGCGGUUAAUACCCGUUAAGAGUGAUGGUAUCUAAGGAAUAAGCACCGGCUAACUUCGUGCCAGCAGCCGCGGUAAU